This 509-nucleotide ribosomal RNA is filed under the name uncultured bacterium. RNAcentral's name for it is "bacterial SSU rRNA". It matches the Rfam family "Bacterial small subunit ribosomal RNA", at positions 20 to 518 of the family's 1533-position model. The record is from RNAcentral.
UGGCUCAGGAUGAACGCUAGCUACAGGCUUAACACAUGCAAGUCGAGGGGCAUCAUUGGGAUAGCUUGCUAUUCAGAUGGCGACCGGCGCACGGGUGAGUAACGCGUAUCCAACCUUCCCCUUAGUAGGGCAUAGCCCGGCGAAAGUCGGAUUAAUACCCUAUGUUGUAUAUUGAGGACAUCUGAUUUAUACCAAAGAUUCAUCGCUAAGGGAUGGGGAUGCGUCCGAUUAGGUAGUCGGCGGGGCAACGGCCCACCGAGCCGUCGAUCGGUAGGGGUUCUGAGAGGAAGGUCCCCCACACUGGUACUGAGACACGGACCAGACUCCUACGGGAGGCAGCAGUGAGGAAUAUUGGUCAAUGGGCGAGAGCCUGAACCAGCCAAGUAGCGUGCCAGGAAGACGGCCCUAUGGGUUGUAAACUGCUUUUAUCAGGGGAUAAAGUGAGGGACGUGUCCCUUAUUGCAGGUACCUGAUGAAUAAGGACCGGCUAAUUCCGUGCCAGCAGCGGC